This 455-nucleotide ribosomal RNA is filed under the name Streptococcus sp. oral taxon 431. RNAcentral describes it as "bacterial SSU rRNA". It matches the Rfam family "Bacterial small subunit ribosomal RNA", at positions 28 to 469 of the family's 1533-position model. Lineage: Bacteria; Bacillati; Bacillota; Bacilli; Lactobacillales; Streptococcaceae. The record is from RNAcentral.
GACGAACGCUGGCGGCGUGCCUAAUACAUGCAAGUAGAACGCUGAAGGAGGAGCUUGCUUCUCCGGAUGAGUUGCGAACGGGUGAGUAACGCGUAGGUAACCUGCCUGGUAGCGGGGGAUAACUAUUGGAAACGAUAGCUAAUACCGCAUAACAGUAGAUAUUACAUGAUAUCUGCUUGAAAGGUGCAGUUGCAUCACUACCAGAUGGACCUGCGUUGUAUUAGCUAGUUGGUGAGGUAACGGCUCACCAAGGCAACGAUACAUAGCCGACCUGAGAGGGUGAUCGGCCACACUGGGACUGAGACACGGCCCAGACUCCUACGGGAGGCAGCAGUAGGGAAUCUUCGGCAAUGGACGGAAGUCUGACCGAGCAACGCCGCGUGAGUGAAGAAGGUUUUCGGAUCGUAAAGCUCUGUUGUAAGAGAAGAACGAGUGUGAGAGUGGAAAGUUCACAA